CGUGGGUAACCUGCCCGGAGGUGGGGGGCAACGUUCCGAAAGGGACGCUAAUACCGCAUGACAUCUCGAGCACCUCGGUGCUUGAGAUCAAAGCUUGCCUCUUCUUGAAAGCAAGCGCCACCGGAGGGACCCGCGCCCCAUUAGCUUGUUGGUGAGGUAACGGCUCACCAAGGCUCCGAUGGGUAGCCGGCCUGAGAGGGUGAUCGGCCACACUGGAACUGAGACACGGUCCAG
This 234-nucleotide ribosomal RNA is filed under the name uncultured bacterium. Its description in RNAcentral is "partial 16S ribosomal RNA". It matches the Rfam family "Bacterial small subunit ribosomal RNA", at positions 116 to 334 of the family's 1533-position model. The record is from RNAcentral.